GAUGAACGCUAGCGGCAGGCUUAAUACAUGCAAGUUGAGGGGCAGCAUGAUAUACGCGAGUAUAUUGAUGGCGACCGGCGGACGGGUGAGUAAUAGGUAGGAGACCUACCUCAUACAGGGGGAUAGCAUAGAGAAAUCUGUGGUAAUACCCCAUGAGGUUAUAUGAAUAGAGGCAUAUAAUCAAAGCAUAAGCGAUUAUGCGGUAUGAGAGGGGCCUACUGACCAUUAGCUAGUUGGUGAGGUAAGGGCUCACCAAGGCGAAGAUGGUUAGGGGUUUUGAGAGAGAGACCCCCCACAUUGGAACUGAGAGACGGUCCAGACUCCUACGGGAGGCAGCAGUAGGGAAUAUUGGGCAAUGGGCGAAAGCCUGACCCAGCCAUGCCGCGUGAAGGAAGACGGCCUUAUGGGUUUAAACUUCUUUACUACGCGAAUAGAGGUUAGUACGAGAUACUAAUAGGAAGGUAGUGUAGUAAAAGCAACCGGCUAACUCCGUG
RNAcentral lists this ribosomal RNA (494 nucleotides) under uncultured bacterium. Its description in RNAcentral is "bacterial SSU rRNA". It matches the Rfam family "Bacterial small subunit ribosomal RNA", at positions 28 to 507 of the family's 1533-position model. The record is from RNAcentral.